Long non-coding RNA from Heterocephalus glaber (naked mole-rat), 1863 nucleotides. The record is from Ensembl. Lineage: Eukaryota; Metazoa; Chordata; Mammalia; Rodentia; Bathyergidae.
CAUCUAUCACCUUAAAUUUUUAUCAUUUCUUUACAGUGAGUACAUUCAAAUUCCUCUCUUCUAACCAUUUUUGGACAACUUCUCCUGAUCUUCAAUCAACGUAGCUGCUUACCACUUGCCACCAGGUGUACACCGCUGCCCUACCCCUUUGAGAAGUGGCGGGCACAGAUGGCUCCAUCUGGGUGCAAGUCCCUUUUCUAGUUAUGCAUGGAUAUUCAGCAGUGCAAGGAAAAACUGGGUAGGUUCUCUGAGGGUCCUGAAAAGUUUGCUGAUGGUUUCCAUACACUAACAAUGGCUUUUGCUCUGACCUGGCGAGAUGUCCAGUUCACCUUGGCCUCUUGCCGCACAGCAGUAGAAAGGAAGAAGAUGACAAGGGCUGCAAACGGUCUAAUGAUGAAGCCUUCAAAGCUUCAUCCUCUGAUAAUCUGCCAGCUGCUGCGUUAUUUGGGUCCCAAGAGGGGCCUGGGCGGGAUUAUAACACGGGGUGGAGAAGCCAAACAAAAGUUAUACAUCAAGGUCAUCUUAGCUAUGCAAUGAGGAAUGCCCAAACCUGUGAACUACGAUAAGCUCAGGUCUAUUAGUCAAGGUUUUGAUGAGAAUCCAGUUGCUUUUCAGCUCCAACUUUAAGAGCCACUCCGUAAAUACACUAAUUUAGACCCAGAGUCCAGAGAAGGUCAGAUUAUCCUAAAGCAGUAUUUUAGUAGUCAGUCAGCUCCAGGUAUUAGGAAAAAGCUCCAAACUCCAGCUGGGCCCACAAACCAAAAUAAGUCAGUUGGUCUACGUAGCUCAUUCGGUCUUUAAUAACCAUGAUGAAGUAGAGUACAAACAAGAGGUGAAUAAAGACAAGAGGCAGGCUAAAGCCAUGCUCGCCCUAUGUGGUAAGGCUCAGGACAAAGCCUGCAGCGCUAAGGGAAGCUGAGGUAAUGCAGAGGGUGAUGGAAGCACCAAGUGCUCCAAGUGCAAGUGAAAGGGGCACUGGGGAAGAAAUGCCCUCAGAAACGCCCUGACCCUUGUCAAGCCUGUCACAACGAGGAAGAAGACCCUUGACUUUGGAAGAGGGACCGUUCUCAUUCCCAGAGAGGGAUGAGGUCAUCCUUCACCGUGGUGGCCGGGGAAGACAGCCCAGAAGAGAACGAUGGUGCCUGAGACAGCCUGCAUGACACCUGCCGAAGAGUAUUCUGAUCAGUGUACAGGAGCCUCAGCUAUUAACCUACUGGUGACAGCCCUAGCUCAAUAUUGGAACCUGCCCCCACCUCCACAAUUCAUCAAGAAAUCCCUGGAGGAAGAACUCACCUCUCUUGAACUCAUAGAUCAGUUAGAGCAAGGGUUCCUUGGUCUCCAUGUAUGUAGAGCCAGCACCCUUAUUCAGCCAGAAGUAGCCAAAGAAGAUGGAAUUUCCUCUUUCAACACCCACAAAGAUUUUGGGGGACCAGAGCUGGGUGUGGGGAUAGUACAGUUAGAAAUAAUGUAGCUGAGGGACUCAUUCCCUUACACCCAUUUAAUUUUAAACAGCAUUCUAUGGCCAUUCUUCUUUCCAUCGUUGUUAAGAGAGUUAGAAAACAAAGUAACAAAAACCUAGGAGCUCUCUGAUGCUCUAGGCAAGUGCACAUGCGUCUCCUAGCCUGACCUUCAGUGGCCUUCAUUCUACUCCCACCUCAUUAAGGGUUGAUUUAUAAAUAUUUACUAUAUCUCAUGCAUAUAAUUAAGAUCAGAGUGAAUUCUGGGACAGGGAUGCAGGUUGAGAGUCCCUAAGAUGACACAGCAUCCUGUCCAUCAUGUCUGUCAAUCAUACUUGUCAAUCAUGCUUAUUCUUUAAAUUCCAGAAGCCUGAUGUGUCAGGGGCUGUUGCUGCUUCUGUGUGUG